RNAcentral lists this ribosomal RNA (460 nucleotides) under uncultured bacterium. RNAcentral's name for it is "partial 16S ribosomal RNA". It matches the Rfam family "Bacterial small subunit ribosomal RNA", at positions 338 to 795 of the family's 1533-position model. The record is from RNAcentral.
CCUACGGAUGGCAGCAGUGAGGAAUAUUGGUCAAUGGGCGUAAGCCUGAACUAGCCAAGUCGCGUGAGGGAUGAAGGUUCUAUGGAUCGUAAACCUCUUUUAUAAGGGAAUAAAGUGCGGGACGUGUCCCGUUUUGUAUGUACCUUAUGAAUAAGGAUCGGCUAACUCCGUGCCAGCAGCCGCGGUAAUACGGAGGAUCCGAGCGUUAUCCGGAUUUAUUGGGUUUAAAGGGUGCGUAGGCGGCCGUUUAAGUCAGCGGUGAAAGUCUGUGGCUCAACCAUAGAAUUGCCGUUGAAACUGGGAGGCUUGAGUAUGUGUGAGGCAGGCGGAAUGCGUGGUGUAGCGGUGAAAGGCUUAGAUAUCACGCAGAACCCCGAUUGCGAAGGCAGCCUGCCAAGCCAUGACUGACGCUGAUGCACGAAAGCGUGGGGAGCAAACAGGAUUAGAUACCCGAGUAGUC